CCUACGGGAGGCUGCAGUGGGGAAUAUUGGACAAUGGGCGAAAGCCUGAUCCAGCCAUGCCGCGUGUGUGAAGAAGGCCUUCGGGUUGUAAAGCACUUUCAGUGGGGAAGAAAGCCUUGGGGCUAAUACCCUCGAGGAAGGACAUCACCCACAGAAGAAGCACCGGCUAACUCCGUGCCAGCAGCCGCGGUAAUACGGAGGGUGCGAGCGUUAAUCGGAAUUACUGGGCGUAAAGCGCGCGUAGGCGGUCUGAUAAGCCGGUUGUGAAAGCCCCGGGCUCAACCUGGGAACGGCAUCCGGAACUGUCAGGCUAGAGUGCAGGAGAGGAAGGUAGAAUUCCCGGUGUAGCGGUGAAAUGCGUAGAGAUCGGGAGGAGUACCAGUGGCGAAGGCGGCCUUCUGGACUGACACUGACGCUGAGGUGCGAAAGCGUGGGUAGCAAACAGGAGUAGAUACCCUGGUAGUC
RNAcentral lists this ribosomal RNA (465 nucleotides) under Vreelandella stevensii. RNAcentral's name for it is "partial 16S ribosomal RNA". It matches the Rfam family "Bacterial small subunit ribosomal RNA", at positions 338 to 795 of the family's 1533-position model. The record is from RNAcentral. Lineage: Bacteria; Pseudomonadati; Pseudomonadota; Gammaproteobacteria; Oceanospirillales; Halomonadaceae.